RNAcentral lists this ribosomal RNA (254 nucleotides) under uncultured bacterium. Its description in RNAcentral is "partial 16S ribosomal RNA". It matches the Rfam family "Bacterial small subunit ribosomal RNA", at positions 524 to 776 of the family's 1533-position model. The record is from RNAcentral.
UACGUAGGGACCGAGCGUUGUCCGGAAUCAUUGGGCGUAAAGGGCGCGUAGGCGGCCAGCUCAAGUCAGUUGUGAAAUCUCCGAGCUUAACUCGGAAAGGUCAACUGAUACUGUGCGGCUAGAGUCCGGAAGAGGAGAGUGGAAUUCCCAGUGUAGAGGUGAAAUUCGUAGAUAUUGGGAAGAACACCGGUGGCGAAGGCGGCGACCUGGUCCGUGACUGACGCUGAGGCGCGAAAGCGUGGGGAGCAAACAGG